RNAcentral lists this ribosomal RNA (253 nucleotides) under uncultured bacterium. RNAcentral describes it as "partial 16S ribosomal RNA". It matches the Rfam family "Bacterial small subunit ribosomal RNA", at positions 524 to 776 of the family's 1533-position model. The record is from RNAcentral.
AACGUAGGUGGCGAGCGUUAUCCGGAUUUACUGGGCGUAAAGGGUGUGCAGGCGGGCUGUUAAGUGGUGUAUGAAAUAUCCCGGCUCAACCGGGAGAGGUUAUGCCAGACUGGCAGUCUAGAGAGCGAGAGAGGGACGUGGAAUUCCUGGUGUAGCGGUGAAAUGCGCAGAUAUCAGGAAGAACACCCGUGGCGAAGGCGGCUCUCUGGGACGGUACUGACGCUGAGACGCGAAAGCGUGGGGAGCGAACAGG